CACAUUUUCUUUACUGAAUGUGCAAUGUUUUGUAACACAUAUUUUAAUUUUAUGCUAACAGUAUGUUUAGUGAUGAAGUUUGUCUUGGUAAUUACCUAAUAUUCAUAUGACCUCAAGAGGUAACUUUGAAACGCUUCUGAAUUCCUACCUGAGGGCUCUGUAUGACUUUGAACUUGGGGGAACAAGUGCAGUGAGUAUAGCACUGAUCUGGUAAUUGGAAGUUUCUUCUUGAUCCCAAGAAGGGAUCAAAUUCAGCCUCUGUCAUUCAUAAACCACAUGAACCUGGCCAGGCCAUUUCCUUUCAGAGUCUCCAUUUAAAACUAGUGUGCAUGCCUGCUGGGCACCACCUUUUCCUGCCUCCUCGUGCCUCUGUGCACAGAUUCACUGACCUCCUGAAACCCCACAGCACUGUUAUGCACCCAGAUGAAUUUGCUGCUGUGUAUAGUCAAGUUGUGCAAGCAUCAGCACGACUGACUUCAGAAGAGACCCUGCGUGAAAGUUAGCUGUCAUCCCGACCCCCUACCUCCAGCUCCAGUCAGCCCCUAUUUUACUGCCUGAUCUACAGACUUGCCUAUUCUGGACGUUUCCUAUGAAAGGAAUUAUAUAAUAUAGGAUUACUUCUCAAGACCUUGACACAGCAACCUGUUGUGAGGGAAAUGAUAUGGGUCAAUAUGUAAAUAAUGUGGAGAAGUGUGUCCAGAGCAUCUUGUGUUCCCCAGCCUGGUGGCACACACACAUUCUGCAGUUUCUGCCUCACUGGUGUGAUU
Long non-coding RNA from Phyllostomus discolor (pale spear-nosed bat), 767 nucleotides. RefSeq lists it as uncharacterized. The transcript has 3 exons. Lineage: Eukaryota; Metazoa; Chordata; Mammalia; Chiroptera; Phyllostomidae. The record is from RefSeq and is a predicted model, not a curated record.